GAAUUAUUAUCUACUAAUACCUAUACGUACCUAUAUAUAUAAUUAUAUUAUAUAUUUUCUUUUUGUACUAAACUUCAAGGUUUCUUAAUUUUUUCUUUUUAAAUUUAUGUUAUUAUUAUGAUUGAAUAAUAUUGUUAUUAAUUCUCAAUUAAAUUGUAAAAGUAACUCCCAAUUCAAAAUAUGUAACAUUAAACAAUUUAACAGUUUAUUCAUUAAUUACCUUUCAGGUAAAUACAUUUUUAAAAUAGUUUAUUUUAUUACACAACUUUUUUACUCUAUAUUUUCAAAUGAAAUUAAUUAUUUUUUGUAACUUGUUAUAUACUUAUUAAUAAGUAUAGGGUAUUUUUUUUUCUAAGUUUUUAGCCUUCGAUGGAUAGAUUAAAUUAAACAGGAUUUUAAGAAACUAGGGAUACUAGGGAAAGAAAAAGUAUAGAAUCGAGAAGAGUGGAAGGUGUCGGUGGCGGCAAAAACUCUUGAAGAGUUGUGAUGUCAAUGAUGAUGAUAAUGAAGUUUUUAGCCAUCGCUUACCAUAUCAAGAGAAAGCUGAUUUAACCACAAAAGGUUGGAGGAGGAUACAAAUAAAAUGUAUCCAUGUAUUUGGAUAUUAAUUUGGAAUCAAGUUUAAUUUAAUUAUUUAGAAUUUUGAAAUGUAAUGUAACCUAAUGAAUGCAAGUAACACAUAGCAUUUGAAACUGAUUAAAUCAAUUCCAUAUUUGUAUAUUAUUAUAAAUCCAAAUGAAUUUAUGAUCAAUAUUAUCUAAUUUCUUUUAGAAAAAUUAAGGUAACAACCAUUCUAAAUAAUGUAGGUAGAUAAUAGUGAUGUCUAUCGUUUACCCAUGUAAUGUUUUUCACUAAUUUUUGUGUUUGAAUUAAUAAAUUAUUACAUUUUUUUUUUGGUAAAGCGUAAAAUAAUAAGAAUUAAAAUUAAAAUUAGGUGUUUAACAAUUUGGAAUAUGAAGACUUAUGUAAG
Molecule: non-coding RNA, 970 nt
Organism: Cinara cedri
Lineage: Eukaryota; Metazoa; Arthropoda; Insecta; Hemiptera; Aphididae
Source: the annotation of a GenBank genome assembly